CACAGCGGAGAGGGAGGCAGGGGGGAGGUGGCGCCCGGCCCGACGCGGGGCAGGAAGGCGGAGGCGACGGCGUAGGCGGCGGCGACAGCCGCGGGGUACCCCGGCGGGCGCCCACGACGCGGUGAGCUGCAUGGGCGCCGCCAUAGUGGGGACGCAGCGGCGGGCGGGGCCCGCGGCCGCGACCCUGUCGGGCGCCUGCGACCAAUGGGCUCGCGGAAGCUGGGCGGAGCGAGGGCCUGGCCAAUGCGGAGCUGCACUGCCCCGAGCAGCCCAAUAGACGCAGGAGCCGCGGAUUUGCCGUCCCGCCCACCCCGCCUACCACGAGACCAGUGCCGCGGCGAGUGCGGGGCGAGAGGUUCGAGCUGGUGGAGCGCCCCAGCCUGCAAGUUCAGCGUGGGUGUCUCUCCUGGGCACAUCGAGCCGUCUAGAGGAACCCUCUUCCCCCGGCUUCACGGCCCAGAGGACGCACGGCUGUCUCCCCUCGAGAGCCUGUUUCGUCGCCUGCGCGGGGAACGCAAAGGGCUAGGGUAGUCACGGCCACUUCACGCCGAGGGACAUCUCAUCUCGCCCUCCAGGUCGUGAGCGCACCCAUUCCGCUCACUGAGGCCGAAAGCCUCGGACCUCCAUGGGCCCUGAGACUUCAGAGUUCCAUGUCUGCUGUGCUGUGGAACCCAGAGUGCUCUUGCCUGGAUGGCUGAGAAUCCCUUGGACCCUGGAAGCACCUACUCCAUGAUGGCCCGGUAUAGUGCAGGCUCAAUAUAAUCUUCCCGGUAUCUUGAGUUGAUAACUCGUUGCCGUUUCUUUUCUUGCUUAACCUCUUUCUCUGUGAAAAUCUCAUUGAAGCGCAUGUCUGAGGCUACUGACUAUAGGAGAAUAAGCAAGCCAGAUGUCAGCUACCCCAGGAACAACACAAAGGGAUGCAUCCUUGACUUGUUCCCUCCCUCCACGACAGGAACUGGGGACACACAGAAAAUACUCACCAGUCUAGAUUUGACUCUCUUGGGAAGCUCUUCAUCCAGUGUGUAUACAUCAUCUCUCUUAACCACAAGCUGUGAGCCAUCCUCAAACUCCACCUACCAAGGAAACAAAGGCCUUUUGGCUAGGAUAUCCCUGACUCUUUCCCUGGUCCACCAUGCACAGUGGCAGUCCCCUACAGUCAAAGGAAGGAGGAAGAACACUAAAAUAACGACUACCUUACUUCACAUUUGGCAGACUGGACACAGGGCAGAUACCUAGCUCUGAAAGGGUUACCAACCUAUUAGUUCUCCUAAGAGCAAAGGCUCGCCUCUGGCCCAACAGGAAGCACAGAAUUAAUGAAGCACCCCCCACUCCCUAGAAAGGUAGAACUUUGGAUACCUGGUACAUUUGGAUAGGGUGGGAGGCCACAAACUUGGCUCCAUAGACUUGGCCGUCUGUCCAUCUCACUUGGACCACUUCUCCUUCAGCAGGAGGACCAAACUGGAGACAGUCCUGGCUCUGAGAAACAGGAAGGAAGGAGGGUGAAAGGAAGGUCCACCUGCACACAAAGGAAAAAGAAUCACCUACCAUGGGACCUGGCAAAGUACUUCAGAACUUUUAUUCCUUCCAGAAGCAGGUAAGUACCCCAAGUCCUCAUCGUAUUCCCAGCAUAGGGCUUGGUAUACGGGGGGAUAUUUCACUCAGCAUAUUGGCUGAAUGAAAGGUCUGAUGGGUAUACCUGGGAGAAGGUUCUUAGGGACAUGGCUUAAAAAAUAAAAAUGAGAGAGGGGCAGGGCAGUGAGUCUAAAAGGAUGUGGAUGCUCACAUCUGCUCUUACAAUCAUGCUACAUUGAGUGGAAACAGUUCCCUACUUAUUGACAAUUCAUUUAUUGAAUAGGUAAUCAGUAAAUACAGUUUGUAUCAAUCUAACAAUUAGGCAUAAACUACAGCCUCCUACACCCAAUAUCUGAGGUGUUCUAAGAUUUAACUACUCAAAUGUUUGAUAUUUGAUAAAUUGCUUAAGUUCUCUGCAAUUCAGUUCCACCUCCUGUAACAGCACUUCUGAAAAUGUGGUCUGUGAACCUCUGAGGGGUUCCUGAGACACUGUCAGGGAGCAAGUGAGACAUGACUAUUUUUAUAAUAUUAAACUAUUAGCCUUUGUCACUGUGUUGUCAUUUACCUAGGAUAGGUACAACCGCUGGCACCUGAGCACAAAUCAAGGCACUGACCCUAAGCUCUACUAGUUGUUACUGCAUUUUUCACCACUGUACACUCAUAAUUUAGGAGAAAAGAGCAAAAACUCUCGAUUGCAUGUAACAAUAUCCCUUGAUGAAGCAGUAAAAAAUUAUUAAUCUUUUAAAAUCUUAAUCAUUGAGUACAUGUGUUAAGUCCUCAUAAGACACUUUUGGUUGUCUCAAAGAAAUCUAUCUGUGUUGUUUGAGUUGUGAAUUACACUAGCUGCUUUGUUCAUGGAAUACCAGUUUUAUUUGAAAAAAAUUACUAGGCUAGGCAUAGUGGCUCGUGCCUGUAAUCCCUCACUUUGGGAGGCAGAGGUAGGAGGAUCGCAUCAGCCCAGGAGUUCAAGACCAGCCUGGGCAACACAGGGGAGAUCCCAUCUCUACAAAACAUAAAAAAUUAGCCAGGUGUGGUGGCACGCGCCUGUAGUCCCAGCUACUCGGAAGACUGAGGACUGCCUGAGGCCAGGAGGAUGACGCUGCAGUGAGCCAUGACCACACCACUGCACUCCAGCCGUGGUGCUGCACAACAGAGCAGGACCCUGUAUUUAAAAAACUCUAUGAAAAUUUUAAAAAAGAAAAAAAGUGACUGACAAACUGGCUUUUCAGACUUAGGUAUCUGGCAGACAUCUUGAAAAUGCAUGAAGUGAACGCCUGUCAUGUCAAGGAAAACAAAAGUCAGUAUCUGUUGCCAAUAAUAAAAUUCAGGCUUUCAAGCAAAUAUUAGCAUUUCAGAGAAGCGGCAUUCACAACUGUGAGCUUGAAACUUCCCAAAAUUCUAAGUUUUUUGAUUAUUAUUGGUGAUACUAACAAAUGUAAUUUUUAAAAUAUUUAUGGCCAGGCGUGGUGGCUCAUGCCUGUAAUCUCAGCACUUUGGGAGGCCAAGGUGGGCAGAUCACGAGGUCAAGAGAUUGAGUCCAUCCUGGACAACAUGGGGAAACCCUGUCUCUACUAAAAAUACAAAAAUUAGUUGGGCGUGGUGGCGUGCACCUGUAGUCCCAGCUACUUGGGAGGCUGAGGCAGGAGAAUCGCUUGAACCUGGCAGGUGGAGGUUGCAGUGAGCCAAGAUCGCACCACUGCACUCCAGCCUGGCGACAGAGUGAGACUCUGUCUCAAAAUAAAUAAAUAAAUAAAUAAAUAAAUUUAUAAUAAUAUUUAACAACAUUUGGAGGCUGUCCAUAGGCCAGUGCACCAAUAUUUUCUAAAUGACCAAUGUAUGAUGUUAUAAAAGGAUGCAUGGGUGAAAGAUCCAUUCAGAAGAGACCAAUGGGUUUUAGUGUUAACAAUAUGAAACGUUCACUGACCUUUCAGAUUCCACACUGCAACUAACUUUUAAGAACCUGCCAGGAGCAGUGGCUCACACCUGUAAUCCCAGCACUUUGGGAGGUUGAGGCAAAAGAAUCGCUUGAGCCCAGGAGUUUGAGACUACCCUGGGCAAGAUGGCAAGACCCCAUUUCUACAAAUAGCCAGGCAUGCCUGUAGUCCCAGCUACUCGGGAAGUGCUUGGUCAACAAAGCAAGACAUCAUCUCUUAAAAAAAAAAAAAAAAAAAAAAAAGUUGUUACUUCCAUUGAGUUUUGGUGGAUAUCAGAGAAUAAUAAACACAAUUACCUGAAAGACUAUUAAAAUACCUCUCUUGGCUGGGUGUGGUGGCUCACAGAUGUAAUCCCAGCACUUUGGGAGGCCAAGGUAGGUGGAUUGCUUGAGCCCAGGAGUUUUGAGACCAGCCUGGGCAACAAGGCAAAGCCCUAUCUCUACAAAAAAAAUUAAAAAAUUAGCUGGGCACCAGUGACAAGCGCCUGUAGUCCCAGCUACUUGGGAGGCUGAGGCAGCAGAAUCACUUGAGCCUGGUAUGUGGAGGUUGCAGUGAGUUGAGAUCACUGCACUGCACUCCAACGUGGGUAACGGGAGUGAAACCCUAUCUUAAAAAAACAAAAACAAAAAAACUCCUUUUUCCAAUUACAUAUCUAUGCAAAGCUGAAUUUUCUUCCUAUACUUGAACCUAAACAGUGUAUCACAAUAGAUUGAAUCAAGAAGUGACAUUAAGGCCGGCGCGGUGGCUCACACCUGUAAUCCCAGCACUUUGGGAGUCCGAGGCGGGCGGAUCACGAGAUCGGGAGAUCAAGACCAUCCUGGCUAACAUGGUGAAACCCCAUGUCUACUAAAAAUACAAAAAAUUAGCCGGGCAUGGUGGCGGGCGCCUGUAGUCCCAGCUACUCGGGAGGCUGAGGCAGGAGAAUGGCGUGAACCUGGGAGGCAGAGCCUGCAGUGAGCCAAGAUCAUGCCACCGUACUCCAGCCUGGGCAACAGAGCGAGACUCCAUCUCAAAAAAAAAAAAAAAAGUGACAUUAAACUCUUUGGGGUCUCUAACUUGUAGAAAAUGGAGUCCUGAAACCACUGUAAGUUAGAGAUAAUACCACAUCCUUCUCACAGUGGGUAUGAGAAGAUAAAGAGAUACUUGAAAUAACCACUUAGCAUAGUGCCUGGCAUACUGUACCAGCUUAAUAAAUUACAGCAAGGGCCAGGUAUGGUGGCUCAAACUCUUGUAAUCCCAGUGGUUUGGGGGCCCAAGAUGUGAGGAUCGCUUCAAGCUGGGAGAUCGAGACCAGCAUGAGCAACAAAUCAAGACUGUUGUCGCUACAAAAAAUUUAAAAAUUAGCCAGGCGUGACUGCAUGUGCCUGUAGUCCCAGCUACCUGGGAAGCUGAAGCAGGAGGAUCACUUGAGUUCAGGAGUUUGAGAUUGCAGGAGCUAUGAUACAGCCACUGCACUCCAGCCUAAGUGACAGAGUGAGACCUGGUCUCUCAAAAAAAAAAAAAAUAAGGCCAGGCACAGUGGCUCACGCCUGUAAUCCCAACACUUUGGGAGGCCAAGGUGGGCAGAUCACUUGAGCCCAGGAGUUCGAGACCAGCCUGGGCAACAUGGCAAAAGCCCGUCUCUACAAAAAAUUAAAAAAUUAGCUGGCUGUGGUGGUGCGUGCCUGUAGUCCCAGCUACCAGGGAGGCUGAGGUGGGAUGAUCACCUCAAUCCAGAAGUUGAGGCUGCAGUGAGCUGAGACUGUGCCACUGUACUGCAGCCUGGGAGUCAGAGUGAAACCCUGUCUCACAAAUAAAAUAUAAAUAAAUGAUAGCUAUACUACUGCUAUGAGUACUACUAAUGUUGCCUUUUCUAUAAGUCUACUUCAUAACUAAUGAAUGUGCUUUUAGCAACUGAGUGGCUAAUGUGGUAUAA
Molecule: long non-coding RNA, 5421 nt
Organism: Symphalangus syndactylus (siamang)
Lineage: Eukaryota; Metazoa; Chordata; Mammalia; Primates; Hylobatidae
Source: RefSeq, a predicted model, not a curated record